RNAcentral lists this non-coding RNA (21 nucleotides) under Macaca mulatta (Rhesus monkey). Its record names the gene mml-miR-190b. RNAcentral also lists the same sequence under 9 other names. The record is from miRBase by way of RNAcentral. Lineage: Eukaryota; Metazoa; Chordata; Mammalia; Primates; Cercopithecidae.
UGAUAUGUUUGAUAUUGGGUU